GACCUCUUGUAAAAACACCUUCCUUUUUUUUUCCAGAAAAGGGACACUAUAAGCUAUGGGCUCAGCAGUAACAAGACUCACUUAUUACCUUUCUCUUUAAGAUCCUAACAGUGGAGAAUUUUCCUGAGAGCUGGAAGAUUAGGGGUCUCACCUUCAUAAAAGCACAAAGAUUCCAAUUACAGUAUAAAGGAAUAUGAGAGAAAGAGGUACUGAGCUAUCAGAUGUGUGAAUGAAGUAUAGAGAUGGCCAUUGAUUGUAAGAUGAGCUCCUUAAAGGCACUGACUUGGAGGAGCGACUGGAAGACAGACCCUGGAGGAGCGACUAGAAGGCAGACACCUA
Molecule: long non-coding RNA, 339 nt
Filed under: Monodelphis domestica (gray short-tailed opossum)
Lineage: Eukaryota; Metazoa; Chordata; Mammalia; Didelphimorphia; Didelphidae
Description: lncRNA (ENSMODG00000041527.1)
Source: RNAcentral